RNAcentral lists this long non-coding RNA (831 nucleotides) under Nicotiana benthamiana. RNAcentral describes it as "long non-coding RNA (NBEN_LNC023325)". The record is from RNAcentral. Lineage: Eukaryota; Viridiplantae; Streptophyta; Magnoliopsida; Solanales; Solanaceae.
CUAAUUAUUGCAAGCGCAAAAAUAACUAAGGUCGGGGAAUUUUGACACACAACCAAUGUCUUUUGAAUUACAACACUCAACACUUACUUUCACGAAUGCCCUGUAAUCACUUGAACCAAAAAAUUCUAUUGAGCACGAACCUAUAUGUGAACUUCAUAUUGCAUAUAGCUAAGCACGCUUAUGUUUACUACGCCUUUAACCAUACACAUCAGCUUAAAGUCACUGGCAUUUUCUUAUGUAUUGGACGGCUACUUCAAACAACAGCAGACUUUUUAGAAAACUAACGAGCUAACAGUUGUCACACAUAGUCCUAUUAUACAACAGCUGUUACAAACUGAGAAUAUGCAACCUGCUGAGAUGUGAUUGGAUCUAAUUAACUAAGAAACCCAAAGGGAAAUAACAUCAAAUAGAGCCAAUACGCAGUUCUUCAUAUCUCUUUGGCAAGAGCACUUUAAGCCAGUCCUUACAUGAUUGAAGUCAAAGUAUAUACCUGGAGAGUAAGAAAAAGCAGCAAUGAAGCAAUCAGUAGAAGAUCAACCACAACAGCACAAACACAACCCAGAUUCAAACAAUAAUCAGUAAAAAAUAAUUCCAAAAGAGUGAUGCACAACAGAUCCCCAGAACUCGAUUUUGAACUAUCUUCACACCCCAAAUCAAUUCAUAUUUUUAAUCUCAAAUAAACCAGGAAAUAUUUCAGGACUCAAAAUUUAAGGAGCCAACCAAAGAAAUCAAUGGAACAAUAAAAUUUUUAUAUUUUUUGUAUUUGUUUCUGUAUUUUUCUACUCUUUUUCUGAUAUUUUUUUAUCACUGAAAUCUCUUCAUCUCUUAAAA